RNAcentral lists this transfer RNA (82 nucleotides) under Candidatus Taylorbacteria bacterium RIFCSPHIGHO2_02_FULL_44_36. RNAcentral describes it as "tRNA-Tyr". It matches the Rfam family "tRNA". From Rfam's summary of the family: Transfer RNA (tRNA) molecules are approximately 80 nucleotides in length. Their secondary structure includes four short double-helical elements and three loops (D, anti-codon, and T loops). Further hydrogen bonds mediate the characteristic L-shaped molecular structure. tRNAs have two regions of fundamental functional importance: the anti-codon, which is responsible for specific mRNA codon recognition, and the 3' end, to which the tRNAs corresponding amino acid is attached (by aminoacyl-tRNA synthetases). tRNAs cope with the degeneracy of the genetic code in two manners: having more than one tRNA (with a specific anti-codon) for a particular amino acid; and 'wobble' base-pairing, i.e. permitting non-standard base-pairing at the 3rd anti-codon position. The record is from RNAcentral. Lineage: Bacteria; Candidatus Tayloriibacteriota.
GCGUAGGUACCGAAGUGGUCAAACGGGACGCACUGUAAAUGCGUUGGCACUGCCUUCGGGGGUUCGAAUCCCUCCCUACGCA